Molecule: long non-coding RNA, 474 nt
Organism: Trifolium pratense (red clover)
Lineage: Eukaryota; Viridiplantae; Streptophyta; Magnoliopsida; Fabales; Fabaceae
Exons: 2
Source: RefSeq, a predicted model, not a curated record
UGAGAAAUAUGACUGCAAUUUUAAAGUUUAUUUAUGUGAUGACCUUCUUUCUUUCACUAUUUCAUGUUGCAACUAACUAUGGAUCUCGUGGUUGCAAGUAUGACAAAGAUUGUCCAAAUUAUUUGUGUUACCCUCCUAAAGUUGGGAAGUGUUUUUCUAAUAAAUGUUACUGCAGUAAUUAACAGGUUAGUUGAAAAGUCAUCUUGUUUCUUAACUUUUUUUUCUCUCAACAUUUCAAAUUUCAUUUUUAGCUGCAAAGGCAGAAGCAAUACUAGGAGGACAAUCGUCAACCCAAACAAGUGUUUCGCUUUCGGAAGAUUUGAAGAACUACAAUUUCUUUACAUGAUUAUAAUUAACUACUUCGAUAAAUAAAAGCGAUAUGAUCAUGUAAAGUAACCAUCUAUUUUACUUCUGCAUUUAGCAUAAGAAUGAUGUGAGAUAUAAAGUGAACAAAUAGCACUCUCUUUUGUUCAA